RNAcentral lists this long non-coding RNA (200 nucleotides) under Phoenix dactylifera (date palm). Its description in RNAcentral is "long non-coding RNA (PDAC_LNC000258)". Lineage: Eukaryota; Viridiplantae; Streptophyta; Magnoliopsida; Arecales; Arecaceae. The record is from RNAcentral.
UUUUUUUUAAUUUCUUCUUUUUAUUUUGCAACAUGAGGAAUUUGGUCGCGACUUUCAAGGCAUGAAGCGACUUUCCAAAAAUUGGGCCCAUCUCAAUCACAACGCGGGACACUUCUAGCAACGCUAGGGUCACGUUUUAAGGGAUGAAAUGGCCGUUAAUUGCUAGGUUAAGUGUGGAUUUGGAUUAUUUCUAGAAAUAA